Molecule: long non-coding RNA, 1189 nt
Filed under: Triticum aestivum (bread wheat)
Lineage: Eukaryota; Viridiplantae; Streptophyta; Magnoliopsida; Poales; Poaceae
Description: long non-coding RNA (TAES_LNC006442)
Source: RNAcentral
UGUUUUUCACUCUAAUUCAAGGGAAAUAAACAUGUUUUUUACAUGAUAGGGAAGACAAAUGACACAUGCUCCUUUUCAAUGGCAAAAUAAUUUCACUCCUUAAGAUAAGUGUUGGAAACAUGCACAUCUUAUUUGACACCUGAACAAGCGAUUGGAUUGCUUCCAGUAUUACAAGGACAAAAGGUCAUGAAACAUCAGUGUGAAUCUCAUAUCACAUCAAUUUGGAUUUUCCCUUUCAUAUCUGCAUUGUGUAAAGUUGGAUCAGAUUGUAAUAUUUAUAUGUAAUUUAGCAAAAGUUCUACCAAGACAUUAACUAUAGAAUCCAUAUUUAUUUCUUAGGUAAACAUUGAUAUUAUUUAGGAGUGAAAGACAUAUGCUAAGUAUGGGGCUUUGCUCGUAUCAUAGUACCACGUACGAACCAGCUGCACCGAGCUUAAUUACUAUUGUUCCGCUUGCUGCGAAGGGAUUCCCAUCUUAACUGGAUGGAGAUUACGUGUGUGGCGUAUGAAUUCGCUGGCCCGGAUCAAUCGGGUGGAUCCACUACUUAGCAGGAGGUACGUCCAAUCUCCCCACAGCGAGCAUGCGAUUAAAUGGAGCUGCGAUGGGAUCAGGCUUUAAUUAUUUGCCUGGCGCUGAUCAGGAAUUUUGUUCCUCGAAAAUGGAUUUGAUCCAGGAUGAAUUGAUGGUCGAUCUCUGAACCCCAGUUCCAGACAAGUUUGAAUAAUUAACAGUACAUGCGAAGGCAUAGGAGACGUGCUCGUACCUGUCCUGGCCGCGUAGCGCUGCAGGCCCACGUCACUAUCAUUCCUCGGGACGAGAAGACGACGAACACUCAAACUGGUGAACAAAAAGAAGGAAGUGACGGAAGUCAAGAACGAUCAAAAUCAAGGUCAGGGUCUGAUCGAUCCUCUGAUCCAAACAAACAGUGAAACGAGCGCUUUGGUUUCCACGUUAUUCUCUGCCUACAUGCGAACAUGGGCCAGACCUUCUUUUUUUUCUUUCUAUGUACGCAGUACACAAGGCUGAGUUUCAAAAAAAACAUGAUGACGUAGAUCAUGGUAAUUAUUGCUAAUUGAUAUUUUUCCUUCUAUGUACGCAGCAUACAAUGCCGAGUUUCAAAAAAAAUAUGAUGGCGUAGAUCAUGGCAAUUCUUGCUAAUUGAUAUGAUUAAAAUAGGCCAAGGUUGGAG